GUGCAAGCGUUGCUCGGAAUUAUUGGGCGUAAAGGGGAGGUAGGUGGUCUCAUUUGUCUGGGGUGAAAGCCUUGAGCUUAACUCAAGAAGUGCCCCGGAAACGGUGAGACUAGAGUCUUGGAGAGGGUCGUGGAAUUCUCGGUGUAGCAGUGAAAUGCGUAGAUAUCGAGAGGAACACCAGUGGCGAAGGCGAGUCCCUGGACAACACCUGACACUGAGGCACGAAAGCUAGGGGAGCAAACAGG
Molecule: ribosomal RNA, 245 nt
Filed under: uncultured bacterium
Lineage: Bacteria
Description: partial 16S ribosomal RNA
Rfam family: Bacterial small subunit ribosomal RNA
Source: RNAcentral